RNAcentral lists this ribosomal RNA (669 nucleotides) under Pseudomonas sp. 4a. RNAcentral's name for it is "bacterial SSU rRNA". It matches the Rfam family "Bacterial small subunit ribosomal RNA", at positions 82 to 747 of the family's 1533-position model. Lineage: Bacteria; Pseudomonadati; Pseudomonadota; Gammaproteobacteria; Pseudomonadales; Pseudomonadaceae. The record is from RNAcentral.
GCUCCUCGAUUCAGCGGCGGACGGGUGAGUAAUGCCUAGGAAUCUGCCUAGUAGUGGGGGACAACGUUUCGAAAGGAACGCUAAUACCGCAUACGUCCUACGGGAGAAAGUGGGGGAUCUUCGGACCUCACGCUAUUAGAUGAGCCUAGGUCGGAUUAGCUAGUUGGUAGGGUAAAGGCCUACCAAGGCGACGAUCCGUAACUGGUCUGAGAGGAUGAUCAGUCACACUGGAACUGAGACACGGUCCAGACUCCUACGGGAGGCAGCAGUGGGGAAUAUUGGACAAUGGGCGAAAGCCUGAUCCAGCCAUGCCGCGUGUGUGAAGAAGGCCUUCGGGUCGUAAAGCACUUUAAGUUGGGAGGAAGGGCUCAUAGCGAAUACCUGUGAGUUUUGACGUUACCAACAGAAUAAGCACCGGCUAACUUCGUGCCAGCAGCCGCGGUAAUACGAAGGGUGCAAGCGUUAAUCGGAAUUACUGGGCGUAAAGCGCGCGUAGGUGGCUUGAUAAGUUGGAUGUGAAAUCCCCGGGCUCAACCUGGGAACUGCAUCCAAAACUGUCUGGCUAGAGUGCGGUAGAGGGUAGUGGAAUUUCCAGUGUAGCGGUGAAAUGCGUAGAUAUUGGAAGGAACACCAGUGGCGAAGGCGACUACCUGGACUGACACUGACACU